GUGUCAGCAGCCGCGGUAAUACGUAGGGGGUAAGCGUUGUCCGGAUUUACUGGGUGUAAAGGGCGCGUAGGCGGAUCUGUAAGUCAGUGGUGAAAUCCUACAGCUUAACUGUAGAACUGCCUUUGAUACUGCAGAUCUUGAGUUUGGAAGAGAGAGAUGGAAUUCCAGGUGUAGUGGUGAAAUACGUAGAUAUCUGGAAGAAAACCAGGGGCGAAGGCGGUGUCUUGGUCCAUAACUGACGCUGAGGCGCGAAAGCGGUGGUAGCAAACAGUAUUAGAUACCCUGGUAGGCCACGCCGUAAACGAUGAAUGCUAGGUGUUGGGUUUU
RNAcentral lists this ribosomal RNA (327 nucleotides) under uncultured bacterium. RNAcentral's name for it is "bacterial SSU rRNA". It matches the Rfam family "Bacterial small subunit ribosomal RNA", at positions 505 to 831 of the family's 1533-position model. The record is from RNAcentral.